GAUGAACGCUGGCGGCGUGCUUAACACAUGCAAGUCGAACGGAAAGGCCCAAGCUUGCUUGGGUCCUCGAGUGGCGAACGGGUGAGUAACACGUGGGUGAUCUGCCCUGCACUUCGGGAUACGCCUGGGAAACUGGGUCUACUACCGGAUAGGACCACAUUUUGGAUGGUGUGGUGGAAAGUUUUUCGGUGUGGGAUGAGCUCGCGGCCUAUCAGCUUGUUGGUGGGGUAAUGGCCUACCAAGGCGUCGACGGGUAGCCGGCCUGAGAGGGUGUACGGCCACAUUGGGAAUGAGAUACGGCCCAGACUCCGACGGGAGGCAGCAGUGGGGAAUAUUGCACAAUGGGCGCAAGCCUGAUGCAGCGACGCCGCGUGGGGGAUGACGGCCUUCGGGUUGUAAACUCCUUUCGCUAGGGACGAAGCGUUUUUGUGACGGUACCUGGAGAAGAAGCACCGGCUAACUACGUG
Molecule: ribosomal RNA, 467 nt
Filed under: uncultured bacterium
Lineage: Bacteria
Description: partial 16S ribosomal RNA
Rfam family: Bacterial small subunit ribosomal RNA
Source: RNAcentral